AUUUUUAGGUUUAGGACUUUUCUUCAAUCCUCAUUUCCAACCGCCACCACCACACUACCCACAACCUUCCUCCUUGCUCGAGUUCCACCAUUAAUGGUGAACUCCGAGCUGACAUACAACCUAACCCCUUCAUUCUCCCUCUCCUCACCAUUUUUCAACAACCAGCAACCAAAAUGAAGUUCACCUUACCGGACUUCAACAGCUUCCCCCACUGCCAGAUUCCAACCAAAAACCCCCUUUCUCCCUCAAAACGAGCUCAAGCUCGUAGGGAAAAUCAAACAGAUCAAGCUCCAACCAGAUUCAACUCCAAACCCACUGAAAAAACCACCCACCGCCGGACAACAACCAGACCAACCACCAAACCAGCGACUAAAAAACAUCGGAAACCACCUCCACAACCUCCAAAACAGACCAACGACUCUCUCCGAGCGGAUUCCAGCAAACUGGAGCAAAUGACAACAACACAACAUCGAUUUCCAAUAGGAAACUCACAACCACCGUCCCCGGGGAACAAACCACGCAACCAGUAACCACUGGAACGCCACCACGGUCCGACGAAAUGGAUCUCCAAGCUCCGAAAAAACUCUAAUCAUCAUCAAUGUUGGUACCUCGAAGUCACUUCUCAUCGAAGCCAUUCGAAUAAAGUUUGAAUGUUAUAUUCAUAAUUAUGUAUAUUGUUGACGAUAGACAAAUAUUAAGUCGUUUCUCAUAUUACUUGUUUACUUUAUUAUGUGUGUAUAUUGCAUGUUUGUUAUAUUU
Solanum tuberosum (potato) is the source of this 759-nucleotide long non-coding RNA. RefSeq lists it as uncharacterized. The record is from RefSeq and is a predicted model, not a curated record. The transcript has 2 exons. NCBI's taxonomy places the organism in Eukaryota, Viridiplantae, Streptophyta, Magnoliopsida, Solanales, Solanaceae.